Molecule: ribosomal RNA, 429 nt
Filed under: uncultured archaeon
Lineage: Archaea
Description: bacterial SSU rRNA
Rfam family: Archaeal small subunit ribosomal RNA
Source: RNAcentral
UACCAGCUCUCCGAGUGGUAGGGAUGAUUAUUGGGCUUAAAGCGUCCGUAGCCGGCUUAGCAAGUCUCCUGUUAAAUCCACCGAUUUAAUCGUUGGAGUGCGGGGGAUACUGUUCGGCUAGGGGACGGGAGAGGCAGACGGUAUUUUCGGGGUAGGGGUGAAAUCCUAUAAUCCCGGGAAGACCACCAGUGGCGAAGGCUGUCUGCUAGAACGCGCCCGACGGUGAGGGAUGAAAGCUGGGGGAGCGAACCGGAUUAGAUACCCGGGUAGUCCCAGCUGUAAACGAUGCAGGCUAGGUGUUUGGGCGGCCACGUGCCGCUCUAGUGCCGCAGGUAAGCCGUUAAGCCUGCCGCCUGGGGAGUACGGCCGCAAGGCUGAAACUUAAAGGAAUAGGCGGGGGAGCACCACAAGGGGUGAAGCUUGCGGUUU